GACAGCGACUGUGACAUGGACCGGUGGAUAACGCCGUGCGAACCAGGGAUGGAAAUCCACAACUGGAAGGCCGAGGAAAUCAUCCGGGUCACUCUCCUCGAAGAGUAAUAUUUUUCUUGUUUUCUUUCUUAUUUGCAUGCAAACCAUGCGUGUUGCCCGACACGUAAUGGUCCAUUGUAAGGGCCACCUCAUGUUUAAAUUUG
This 203-nucleotide long non-coding RNA is filed under the name Lathyrus oleraceus (garden pea). Its description in RNAcentral is "Pisum sativum (pea) long non-coding RNA (PSAT_LNC025258)". Lineage: Eukaryota; Viridiplantae; Streptophyta; Magnoliopsida; Fabales; Fabaceae. The record is from RNAcentral.